Molecule: ribosomal RNA, 104 nt
Filed under: Caerostris darwini
Lineage: Eukaryota; Metazoa; Arthropoda; Arachnida; Araneae; Araneidae
Source: RNAcentral
AACGGCCGUACCAUGCUGAUUAUACCGGUUCUCGUUAGAUCACCGAAAUCAAGCAUCAUUGGGCGCGUUCAGUACUUCGGUACCUGGGAACACCGAGUGCCGUU